UGAGGAAUAUUGGUCAAUGGACGCAAGUCUGAACCAGCCAAGUCGCGUGAAGGAUGACUGCCCUACGGGUUGUAAACUUCUUUUGUACUAGAGUAAAACAUAGGACGUGUCCUAUCUUGCAAGUAUAGUACGAAUAAGCAUCGGCUAACUCCGUGCCAGCAGCCGCGGUAAUACGGAGGAUGCGAGCGUUAUCCGGAUUUAUUGGGUUUAAAGGGUGCGUAGGCGGUCUAUUAAGUCAGCGGUGAAAGUUUGAGGCUCAACCUUAAAAUUGCCGUUGAAACUGGUUGACUUGAGUAUAUUUGAAGUAGGCGGAAUUCGUGGUGUAGCGGUGAAAUGCAUAGAUAUCACGAAGAACUCCAAUUGCGCAGGCAGCUUACUAAACUAUAACUGACGCUGAGGCACGAAAGCGUGGGUAUCAAACA
RNAcentral lists this ribosomal RNA (422 nucleotides) under uncultured bacterium. Its description in RNAcentral is "bacterial SSU rRNA". It matches the Rfam family "Bacterial small subunit ribosomal RNA", at positions 355 to 774 of the family's 1533-position model. The record is from RNAcentral.